UCUUAGACUUUUGUUUUUUUUUGUGAACUUCCUUUUGAUUUUAUUUAUAUUUUGUAUUGACUUUUAUUUUAUUUUUUGUCUUUGAUUUUUUAUGUCUUUUUUUCUACAUUUGUUUUUUUUUUGUUUUUCUUUGUAUAUUCUAAACGAAAAUUUUUUUCUAUUUUCUAUUUGAAAUUUUUAUUCAUUUUAUCGUUUUAUAUUUUUUUAUUCUCUAAUUUUUUAUUUUCUUACUUUUUUACUUUUUGUUUUUGUUUAUUUUUAAUUGUUAUUUUUUUAGUAUUUUAUUUUAUUUUUUUUCAAUUUUUUUAUUUUUGAUUAAUUAUUUUUUAUUAUCUUACCUUUUAUAUUUUUAUUGUAUUUUCGUUUUUUUUAUUUUUUUUGUUUUACUUUAAUAUUGUUUUCUUAUUUUAUUUUUAUUUUGGUUUAUUUUUUAUUUCUUUCUUUAUUUAAAUUUUCAUAAAUUUUUAGAAUGUUUUGGAUUUUUUAUUUUUCAUAAAUCUUUUGUCUUUUCAUUUUUAUUCUUUUCUUAAUUUUUUUUUCACAAAUUUCUUUUUAUUUCUUAUUUUCAUUUUCAAAUUCUUAUAGUUUCUUUUGUUGCAUUUUCUUCUUUGGUUUUCAUUUUUAUUUUGAAUUAACUUUUCUCUCUUUUAAUUUUUUGUCUUUGAUUUUUUAUAUUGUUUUCUUAUUAUUUCUUAUGUUUCAAUUUUUUGUAUUUUUAAAAUAUUUGUUUCUUUUGUCAUUCUUUCGUUUUGAAAUUUUUAUUCAAUUUUUUGCUUUUUUUUUUUACUUUUUAUAUUUUUUAUUGUAUUUUUUUUAUUUAUUUUAUUUAUUCUUUUAAUAUUUUUUAUUUUUAUUUUUAUUUCUUUAUUUAUAUUUGCAUAUAUUUUUAUAAGUUUUGGAUUUUUUUAUUUUUCUACCUCUUCUUUUUUAUUUAUCAUUGUUGGUUAUUUUUCUAUUGUUUUUUAUAAUUUCAUUUAUCUUUUCUUUUUAUAUUUUUUUUUUGUUUUCACUUUUUCUUUGUUUUAAAAUUUCUAUAAACUUGUUUCUUUUGUUUAUUUCAUUUUUUCCUUUCAUUUUUUAUUUUCUUGUUUCUAAUUUUUUUCACAAAAUUCUUUUAUUUCUUGUUUCCAUUUUUUUUUUACACUUCCUUAUUUUGGUUUUUAUUUUAUUUUGUUUUAACUUUUCCCUUUGUAAUUUUGUAUCUUUGAUUUUUUUAUUUUUUCUUAUUACAUUAUUUUUGCUUGUAUUUUCUAAAUUAAUUUUUUUCUACUUUCUCAUCCCUUUUCAUUUUUUGAACUUCUUUAAUUUUUUAUCUUUGAUUUUUUAUAUCUUUAUAUCUAUUAUUUUUUGUUUGUAAUUUUGUAACUUAAUUUUUUCUAUUUUGCCAUUUUUUUUCAUUUUUUAUUAUGUUUUGUAUUUUUUUUUUAAAUUUUUGACUCAUUUUUUCUUUUCCUUACUUUCUUUAUUUUUUAUUUUUUUCUUUUUUUAUUAUUAUUUUAUCUUUUUCCUUUUGCUUUUAAUACUUUUCUCUUUUUUUUUUCCUUUUACUUUUUUUUGUUAAUUUUUGUUAUUUUUUUAUAAAAAUUUUAUAAUGUUAUGGAUAUUUACUUUAUAUUUUAAUCUUUUUUUCUUUUGGUUUGUCUCAUUUUUGCUGUCAUUUUUUAUUUUUUUGGUAUUUUCUAUUCUAUUUUUAUAAUUCUUCAGUAAUUCUUUUUUUCUUUUUCUUUUAACUUAUUUGUUCAUUUGCUUUCUCUUUUUUGUUUUAAUUUUUUUUAUAUGUUUUGUAUUUUAAUUUUUUUAUUUUUUCUUGCUUUUUCUUAUAUCUUUUUGUUCACAUUUUUUUUUAUUUCUUCUUUACAAUUUUAAAAUCUCAAGACUUCUCUUUUUGUGUACUUCCUUUUGCUUUUAUUUAUAUUUUGUAUUGACUUUUUAUUUUAUUUUUUAUCUUUGAUUAUUUGUCCUUUUUUUAUUUUGUUAUAUUUUUUUUUGUUUCUCUUUGUAUAUUCUAAACUAAAAGUUUUUUCUAUUUUAUAUUUCAAAGUUUUCUUCACUUCGUCUUUUUAUAUUUUUUUAUUAGCUAAUUUUUUUAUUUUCUUCCUUUUUUAUUUUUUGUUUUUGUUUAUUUUUUCUUUUAUAUUAAUAUUUUUUCUUAAUUUAUUUUUUCAUUUUCUUAUUUUGUCUUUUUUUUUCCUAUUUUUUGUUCUAUUUUAUAACUUUUCAAAAACUUUUUUCCAUCAAAAUUUUCUUUCUUUUUGCUUUUUUUUUUUCACAUGCUUUCAUUUUAUUUUAUUUCAUUGUUUUAAUAUUUUUUACUUUCUCGUUUUCUUUUUUAUUUCAAAUCUUUGUCUUUUCAUUUUUAUUCUAUUCUUGCUUUUCUUUUUAUUUCUUAUUUGCGUUUUUAAAUUCUCGUACUUUUUUUUUCAAUUUCUCCUUUGGUUUUCAUUUUAUUUUGCAAUAACUUCUCUUUUUUAAUUUUUUGUCUUUGACCUUUUCUAUUGUUUUCUUGUUAUUUCUUAUAUGUUUUUCAAUUUUUUGUAUUUUUAAAACUAUUUUUUUUAUUUUGUCAUUCUUUUUCACUUUCUAAAUUUUUAUUCAAUUUUUGUAUUUUGAUUAAUUAUUUUUUAUUUUCUUACUUUUUAUAUUUUAUUGUAUUUUGUUUAUUUUUUAUUUUUUUGUUUUACUUUAAUAUUCUUUUCUUAUUUUAUUUUUAUUUGGUUUAUUUUUUAUUUCUUUCUUUAUUUAAAUUUUCAUAAAUGUUUAGAAUGUUUUGGAUUUUUUAUUUUUCAUAAAUCAUCUUUUGUCUUUUCAUUUUUAUUAUUUUCUUAAUUUUUUCACAAAUUUCUUUUUAUUUCUUAUUUUCAUUUUCAAAUUCUUAUAGUUUUUUUGUUGCAUUUUCUUCUUUGGUUUUCAUUUUUAUUUUGCAUUAACUUUUCUCUUUUUUAAUCUUUUGUCUUUGAUUUUUUAUAUUGUUUUCUUAUUAUUUCUUAUAUGUUUUUCAAUUUUUUGUAUUUUUUAAAAUAUUUUUUUUCUAUUUUGUCAUUUCCUUUCAUUUUUGAAAUUUUUAUUCAAUUUUUGUCUUUUUUUAUUUUUUGUUUUUGAUUCAUUAUUUUUUAUUUUCUUACUUUUUAUAUUUUUUAUUGUAUUUUUGUUUAUUUACAUUUUAUAUUUUUUCUUAUUUUUUAUUUUUUAUUCUUUCUUUAUUUAUAUUUCAUAAAUUUUUAUAAUGUUUUGGAUUUUUUUAUUUUUUAUCUUUUUAUCUUUUCUUUUUUAUUUAUCGUUGUUGGUUAUUUUCUAUUUGUAUUUUAUAAUUUUCCAUUAACUCCUUUUCCUUUUAAAUUUUUCCCUUUUUUUUACUUAUUUUUUCAUGUGCUUUCAUAUUUUUUUUUGUUUUCACUUUUUUCUUUGUUUAAAAUUUUCUAUAAAACUUUUUUCUUUUGUUUUAUUUCAUAUUUUUGCCUCUUCAUUUUUAUUUUUUCUUGUUUUUCGAAUUUUUUUCACAAAAUUCUUUAUUUCUUGUUUCCAUUUUUUUUCUUUUGCACUUCCUUGUUUGUUUUUAUUUUAUUUUGUUUUAACUUUUCCCUCUGUUAAUUUUGUAUCUUUGAUUUUUUUAUUUUUUCUUAUUACAUUAUUUUGCUUGUAUUUUCUAAAUUAAAUUUUUUCUUACUUUGUCAUCCCUUUUCAUUUUUUAACUUCUUUUAUUUUUAUCUCUGAUUUUUUAUAUCUUUAUCUUAUUAUUGUUAUUUUUUAUUAUUGUUUGUUUUUAAUAACUAAAUUGUUUUCUAUUUUGUCAUUUUUUCUUCAUUUUUGAAAUUUAUUAGCUUUUGUAUUUUACAAUUUUUCUUUUGACUCGUUAAUUUUUCAUUUCCUCACUUUUUAUUUUUUCUAUUUUGUGCUCUUUUUAAUCUUUUUUCCUUUUAUUUUUUAUUUUUAAUUUUGUUAUUUUGUUUUUUUAUAAAAUUUUAUAAUGUUAUGGACAUUAAAACAUUGUUGAAUGAGACUUUGAUUUCAUUAGAAAUUGAAGAUGUUAUGUGCAUGUAUACUAAUUAGAUAUUCUAAUUAAAUUCAUCUUGUAUUUUAUCUUGAAAUUUUUUAUUUUGUAAUUUAUCUGAUUAAAAUUAUUGUAUAAUUUAUCUUUUAUUUAAUAAAAAUUUGGAUUAUUUUAUUUAUUAUUUUGGAUUGUAUAAUAUUUAUCUUUUAUUUGAUACAAUUUGUUAAGAGAUAAUAAUUAUCUUUGUUAUUUUCUUUUGGAAUUUUAUUGGCUUAUAUAUAAUAACACUAGUUUGGAAUUGUUAUAUCUAUCACUAUUUACUUCAUGUAUUUAUAUUUUUACAUUUUUAACGAUUUAAAAAUUAAAAAUUAUAAAUUUAAAUCAAUAAAUUCAAAUCAAAAUAUUUUGCAUCUAAACUUUCAAAUUCAAAUUAAGUUUUAAAACAUAAAUUAAAGAUUGAACUUUGUAGAAUUUUUUUAUUUCUUUAUUUAUUUCCUUUUUUAAAGCUUUUUGUUUUUUUUUUUUACUUUUUAUACAUUUUCCUAAUUAUUCAUUUAUUAUAUUUUUGUUAUAUAGUGUAUUUUUCUUCUUUUUUUUUUUUUUUACAAAAAACCUUCUUUCUUAUCUUCAUUAUAUUAUUCUUUCACUACUUAUUUUCUUUUUGCUUUUGAUUUUUUUGUUGCUCUAAUCUAAUUGGUCAUUUACAUUAUUUCUAUUAUUUUUUUCUUUUUGUACUCUUUUUACUUUUUAUCUUUAUUUUUUCAUUUUUUUUCUUAAGGUUUUUCUUCUUUUUAUUUUUGGGUUUUUUUUGGCAUUUCUUUUAAUUUGUGUUUUUUAUCCACACUUCUUUCUUUUGUUUUAUUUUUUAUUAACUUUUUUCUUUUUUAAUCAUUGAUUUUUUAUAUCUUUAUUUCUUAUUAUUUGUUAUAUUUUUUAUUUUUCGUUUGUAUUUUAUAAACUAAAAUUUUUUCUAUUGUCUUUUUCUUUUCCUUUUUUCAUUUUUAUUAGUUUUUGUAUUUUUUUAAUUUUUUCUUUUAACUCAUUUUUUAAUUUUCUUACUUUUUUUAAUUGCGUUUUUGUUUAUUUUUAAUUUUUCUCUUUUUUAGUACUUAUUUUAUCUUUUUCCUUGUGCUUUACUAAUCUUUUAUUUUAUUUUUCCUUUUAUUUUUAUUGUUAAUUUUUGUUAUUUUUUAUAAAAAUUUUAUAAUGUUAUGGAUAUUUACUUUUAUUUUUUAAUCUUUCUUCUUUUGGUUUGUUUCAUUUUUUUUGCUAUUAUCUAUUCUAUUUUUAUAAUUUUUCAUUAAUUCCUUUUUUUCUUUUAAUUUAUUUGUUCAUUUGCUUUCAUUCUUUUUGUUUUAAUUAUUUUUAUAUAUUUUGUAUUUUCAUUUUUUAUUGUUUUCUUGCUUUUUCUUAUAUCUUUUUGUUCACACUUUUUUUUAUUUCUUCUUUACAAUUUUAAAAUCUUAGACUUUUGUUUUUUUUUGUGAACUUCCUUUUGAUUUUAUUUAUAUUUUGUAUUGACUUUUAUUUUAUUUUUUGUCUUUGAUUUUUUAUGUCUUUUUUUCUACAUUUGUUUUUUUUUUUUUUGUUUUUCUUUGUAUAUUCUAAACGAAAUUUUUUUCUAUUUUCUAUUUGAAAUUUUUAUUCAUUUUAUCGUUUUAUAUUUUUUUAUUCUCUAAUUUUUUAUUUUGUUACUUUUUACUUUUUGUUUGUUUAUUUUUAAUUGUAUUUUUUUAGAUUUUUUUUUUUUUUUAAUUUUGUAUUUUUGAUUAAUUAUUUUAUUAUUUACCUUUUUUAUUUUUUAUUGUAUUUUCUUUUUUUUAUUUUUGGGUUACUUAAUUUGUUUUCUUAUUUUUUUUUAUUGGUUUAUUUUUUUAUUUUCUUUCUAUUAAUUUUCUAAAUUUUUAGAAUGUUUUGAUUUUUUAUUUUCAAAAUCUUUUGUCCUUUUUCAUUUUUAUUCUUUCCUUAAUUUUUUUUUCAACAAAUUUCUUUUAUUUCUUAUCUUGUACUUUUCAAAUUCUUAUCGUUUCUUUUGUUGCAUUUUCUUCUUUGGUUUUCAUUUUUAUUUUGAAUUAACUUUUCUCUCUUUUAAUUUUUUGUCUUUGAUUUUUAUAUUGUUUCUUAUUAUUUCUUAUAUGUUUUUCAAUUUUUUGUAUUUUUUAAAAUAUUUUUUCUAUUUUGUCAUUUCCUUUCAUUUUUGAAAUUUUUAUUCAAUUUUUGCCUUUUUUUUUCUUACUUUUUAUAUUUUUUAUUGUAUUUUUGUUUAUUUUAUUUUAUUUUUUUCUUAAUAUUUUUUUCUUAUUUUUAUUUUUAAUUUCUUUCUUUAUUUAUAUUUUCAUAAAUUUUUAUAAUGUUUUGGAUUUUUUAUUUUUCUACCUUUUUUUCUUUUCUUUUUUAUUUAUCAUUGUUGGUUAUUUUCUAUUGUAUUUUUAUAAUUUUUCAUUAACUCCUUUUCCUUUUUUUACUUAUUUUUCAUGUGCUUCAUAUUUUUUUUUGUUUUCACUUUUUCUUUGUUUUAAAAUUUUCUAUAAAACUUUUUUUCUUUUGUUUUAUUUCAUAUUUUUACCUCUUCAUUUUUUAUUUUUUCUUGUUUUUCUAAUUUUUUUCACAAAAUUCUUUUUAUUUCUUGUUUCAUUUUUUUUUUACACUUCCUUAUUUUGUUUUAACUUUUCCCUCUGUUAAUUUUUGUAUCUUUGAUUUUUUUUUCUUAUUACAUUAUUUUGCUUGUAUUUUCUAAAUUAAAUUUUUUUCUACUUUCUCAUCCCUUUUCAUUUUUGAACUUCUUUUAAUUUUUAUCUUUGAUUUUUAUAUCUUUAUAUCUUAUUAUUUUUUGUUUGUAUUUUGUAAACUUAAUUUUUUCUAUUUUGCCAUUUUUUUCAUUUUAUUAGUUUUUGUAUUUUUUUAAAAUUUUUUGACUCAUUUUUCUUUUCCUUACUUCUUUAUUUUUUUAUUUUUUUUCUUUUUUUAUUACUUAUUUUAUCUUUUUCCUUUUGCUUUAAUACUUUCUCUUAUUUUUUUCCUUUUACUUUUUUUGGUUAAUUUUUGUUAUUUUUUAUAAAAAUUUUAUAAUGUUAUGGAUAUUUACUUUAUAUUUUAAUCUUUUUUUCUUUUGGUUUGUCUCAUUUUUGCUGUCAUUUUUUAUUUUUUUGGUAUUUUCUAUUCUAUUUUUAUAAUUCUUCAGUAAUUCUUUUUCUUUUCUUUUAACUUAUUUGUUCAUUUGCUUUCUCUUUUUUUUAAUUUUUUUUAUAUGUUUGUAUUUUAAUUUUUUUAUUUUUUCUUUUUCUAUAUCUUUUGUUCACAUUUUUUUUUUAUUUCUUCUUUGCAAUUUAAAUCUCAAGACUUCUCUUUUUGUGUACUUCCUUUUGCUUUUAUUUAUAUUUUGUAUUGACUUUUAUUUUUUUUAUCUUUGAUAUUCCUUUUUUAUAUUUGUUAUAUUUUUUUUUGUUUCUCUUUGUAUAUUCUAAACUAAAAGUUUUUUCUAUUUUAUAUUUCAAAGUUUUCUUCACUUCGUCUUUUUAUAUUUUUUUAUUAGCUAAUUUUUUUAUUUUCUUCCUUUUUUAUUUUUUGUUUUUGUUUAUUUUUUUCUUUAUAUUAAUAUUUUUAUUAAUUUAUUUCAUUUAUUUUUAUUUUUAUUUUUUGAAUCUUUUUUAUUUUUUCAUUUUCUUAUUUUGUCUUUUUUUUUCCUAUUUUUUGUUCUAUUUUAUAAUUUUUCAAAAACUUUUUUCCAUCAAAAUUUUCUUUCUUUUUGCUUUUUUUUUUUUCACAUGCUUUCAUUUUUAUUUUAUUUCAUUGUUUUAAUAUUUUUUACUUUCUCGUUUUCUUUUUUAUUUCAAAUCUUUUGUCUUUUCAUUUUUAUUCUAUUCUUGCUUUUCUUUUUAUUUCUUAUUUGCGUUUUUAAAUUCUCGUACUUUUUUUUUCAAUUUCUCCUUUGGUUUUCAUUUUUAUUUUGCAAUAACUUCUCUUUUUUAAUUUUUUGUCUUUGACCUUUUCUAUUGUUUUCUUGUUAUUUCUUAUAUGUUUUUCAAUUUUUUGUAUUUUUAAAACUAUUUUUUUUUAUUUUGUCAUUCUUUUUCACUUUCUAAAUUUUUAUUCAAUUUUUGUAUUUUUGAUUAAUUAUUUUUUAUUUUCUUACUUUUUAUAUUUUUAUUGUAUUUUUGUUUAUUUUUUAUUUUUUUUGUUUUACUUUAAUAUUCUUUUCUUAUUUUAUUUUUAUUUCUUUCUUUAUUUAAAUUUUCAUAAAUGUUUAGAAUGUUUUGGAUUUUUUAUUUUUCAUAAAUCUUUUGUCUUUUCAUUUUUAUUAUUUUCUUAAUUUUUUCACAAAUUUCUUUUUAUUUCUUAUUUUCAUUUUCAAAUUCUUAUAGUUUUUUUGUUGCAUUUUCUUCUUUGGUUUUCAUUUUUAUUUUGCAUUAACUUUUCUCUUUUUUAAUCUUUUGUCUUUGAUUUUUUAUAUUGUUUUCUUAUUAUUUCUUAUAUGUUUUUCAAUUUUUUGUAUUUUUUAAAAUAUUUUUUUUCUAUUUUGUCAUUUCCUUUCAUUUUUGAAAUUUUUAUUCAAUUUUUGUCUUUUUUUAUUCAUUAUUUUUUAUUUUCUUACUUUUUAUAUUUUUUAUUGUAUUUUUGUUUAUUUACAUUUUAUAUUUUUUUCUUAUUUUUAUUUUUUAUUUCUUUCUUUAUUUAUAUUUUCAUAAAUUUUUAUAAUGUUUUGGAUUUUUUUAUUUUUUUAUCUUUUUAUCUUUUCUUUUUUAUUUAUCGUUGUUGGUUAUUUUCUAUUGUAUUUUUAUAAUUUUCCAUUAACUCCUUUUCCUUUUAAAUUUUUCCCUUUUUUUACUUAUUUUUUCAUGUGCUUUCAUAUUUUUUUUUUGUUUUCACUUUUUUCUUUGUUUUAAAAUUUUCUAUAAAACUUUUUUUCUUUUUGUUUUAUUUCAUAUUUUUGCCUCUUCAUUUUUUAUUUUUUCUUGUUUUUCGAAUUUUUUUCACAAAAUUCUUUUAUUUCUUGUUUCCAUUUUUUUUCUUUUGCACUUCCUUGUUUUGUUUUUAUUUUUAUUUUGUUUUAACUUUUCCCUCUGUUAAUUUUUGUAUCUUUGAUUUUUUUAUUUUUUUCUUAUUACAUUAUUUUUGCUUGUAUUUUCUAAAUUAAAUUUUUUUUCUACUUUGUCAUCCCUUUUCAUUUUUUAACUUCUUUUAAUUUUUUAUCUCUGAUUUUUUAUAUCUUUAUAUCUUAUUAUUUGUUAUAUUUUUUUAUUAUUUGUUUGUAUUUUAUAAACUAAAUUUGUUUUCUAUUUUGUCAUUUUUUCUUCGUUUUUGAAAUUUUUAUUAGCUUUUGUAUUUUUACAAUUUUUUCUUUUGACUCGUUAAUUUUUCAUUUCCUCACUUUUUUAUUUUUUCUAUUUUGUGCUCUUUUUAAUCUUUUUUCCUUUUAUUUUUUAUUUUUAAUUUUUGUUAUUUUGUUUUUUUAUAAAAAUUUUAUAAUGUUAUGGACAUUAAAACAUUGUUGAAUGAGACUUUGAUUUCAUUAGAAAUUGAAGAUGUUAUGUGCAUGUAUACUAAUUAGAUAUCUAAUUAAAUUCAUCUUGUAUUUUAUCUUGAAAUUUAUUUUUAUUUAUCGUGUAAUUUAUCUUUUAUUUAAUAAAAUUUGGAUUAUUUUUAUUUAUUAUUUUGGAUUGUAUAAUAUUUAUCUUUUAUUUGAUACAAUUUGUUAAGAGAUAAUAAUUAUCUUUGUUAUUUUCUUUUGGAAUUUUAUUGGCUUAUAUAUAAUAACACCAGUUUGGAAUUGUUAUAUCUAUCACUAUUUACUUCAUGUAUUUAUAUUUUUACAUUUUUAACGAUUUAAAAAUUAAAAAAAUUUUAAAUUUAAAUCAAUAAAUUCAAAUCAAAAUAUUUUGCAUCUAAACUUUCAAAUUCAAAUUAAGUUUUAAAACAUAAAUUAAAGAUUGAACUUUGUAGAAUUUUUUUAUUUCUUUAUUUAUUUCCUUUUUUAAAGCUUUUUGUUUUUUUUUUUUUACUUUUUAUACAUUUUCCUAAUUAUUCAUUUAUUAUAUUUUUGUUAUAUAGUGUAUUUUUCUUCUUUUUUUUUUUUUUUUUACAAAAAACCUUCUUUCUUAUCUUCAUUAUAUUAUUCUUUCACUACUUAUUUUCUUUUUGCUUUUGAUUUUUUUGUUGCUCUAAUCUAAUUGGUCAUUUACAUUAUUUUCUAUUAUUUUUUUCUUUUUGUACUCUUUUUACUUUUUAUCUUUAUUUUUUUCAUUUUUUUUCUUAAGGUUUUUCUUCUUUUUAUUUUUGGGUUUUUUUGGCAUUUCUUUUUAAUUUGUGUUUUUAUCCACACUUCUUUCUUUUGUUUUUAUUUUUUAUUAACUUUUUUCUUUUUUUAAUCAUUGAUUUUUUAUAUCUUUAUUUCUUAUUAUUUGUUAUAUUUUUUAUUUUUCGUUUGUAUUUUAUAAACUAAAAUUUUUUCUAUUGUCUUUUUCUUUUCCUUUUUUCAUUUUUAUUAGUUUUUGUAUUUUUUUAAUUUUUCUUUUAACUCAUUUUUUAAUUUUCUUACUUUUUUUAAUUGCGUUUUUGUUUAUUUUUAAUUUUUCUCUUUUUUAGUACUUAUUUUAUCUUUUUCCUUGUGCUUUACUAAUCUUUUAUUUUAUUUUUCCUUUUAUUUUUAUUGUAAUUUUUGUUAUUUUUAUAAAAAUUUUAUAAUGUUAUGGAUAUUUACUUUUAUUUUUUUAAUCUUUUCUUCUUUUGGGUUUGUUUCAUUUUUUUGCUAUUAUCUAUUCUAUUUUAUAUUUUCAUUAAUUCCUUUUUUUCUUUUAAUUUAUUUGUUCAUUUGCUUUCAUUCUUUUGUUUUAAUUAUUUUUAUUAAUUUGUUUUAUUUUUUAUUGUUUUCUUGCUUUCUUAUACUUUGUUCACACUUUUUUAUUCUUCUUUACAUUUUUAAAUCUAGACUUUGUUUUUUUUUGUGAACUCCUUUUGAUUUUAUUUAUAUUUGUAUUGACUUUUAUUUUAUUUUUUGUCUUUGAUUUUUAUGUCUUUUUUCUACAUUUGUUUUUUUUUUUUUGUUUUUCUUUGUAUAUUCUAAACGAAAUUUUUUUCUAUUUCUAUUUGAAAUUUUAUUCAUUUUAUCGUUUUAUAUUUUUUUAUUCUCUAAUUUUUAUUUCUUACUUUUUACUUUGUUUUUGGUUUAUUUUAAUUGUUAUUUUUUAGUAUUUUAUUUUAUUUUUUUUUCCAAUUUUUUAUUUUGAUUAAUUUAUUUUUUAUUAUCUUACCUUUUAUAUUUUUAUUGCUCUUCGUUUUUUUUAAUUUUUUGUUUUACUUUAUAUCGGUUUUCUUAUUUUAUUUUUAUUCUUGGUUAUUUUUUAUUUCUUUCUUUAUUAAAUUUUCCCAUAAAUUUUUAGAAUGUUUGGAUUUUAUUUUUCAUAAAUCUUUGUCUUUUUCAUUUUAUUCUUUUCUAAUUUUUUUUCCAAAUUUCUUUUUAUUUCUUAUUUUCAUUUUCAAAUUCUUAUAGUUUCUUUUUGUUGCAUUUUCUUCUUUGGUUUUCAUUUUUAUUUUGAAUUAACUUUUCUCUCUUUUAAUUUUUGUCUUUGAUUUUUUAUAUUGUUUUCUUAUUAUUUCUUAUAUGUUUUUCAAUUUUUUGUAUUUUUUAAAAUAUUUUUUUCUAUUUUGUCAUUUCCUUUCAUUUUUGAAAUUUUUAUUCAAUUUUUGCCUUUUUUCUUACUUUUAUAUUUUAUUAUUUAUUUUUAUUUUUUUUUUUCUUUAAUAUUUUUUUCUUAUUUUAUUUUUAAUUUCUUUCUUUAUUUAUAUUUUCAUAAAUUUUUAUAAUGUUUUGGAUUUUUUUAUUUUUCUAUCUUUUUUUCUUUUCUUUUUUUAUUUAUCAUUGUUGGUUAUUUUCUAUUGUAUUUUUAUAAUUUUUCAUUAACUCCUUUUCCUUUUUUUACUUAUUUUUUUUUUUUGUUUUCACUUUUUCUUUGUUUUAAAAUUUUCUAUAAAACUUUUUUUCUUUGUUUUAUUUCAUAUUUUUACCUCUUCAUUUUUUAUUUUUUCUUGUUUUUCUAAUUUUUUUCACAAAAUUCUUUUAUUUCUUGUUUCCAUUUUUUUUUUACACUUCUUAUUUUGUUUUAACUUUCCCUCUGUUAAUUUUUGUAUCUUUGAUUUUUUCUUAUUACAUUAUUUUUGCUUGUAUUUCUAAAUUAAUUUUUUUCUACUUUCUCAUCCCCUUUUCAUUUUGAACUUCUUUUAAUUUUUAUCUUUUGAUUUUUAUAUCUUUAUAUCUUAUUAUUUUUUGUUUGUUAUUUUGUAAACUUAAUUUUUUCUAUUUUGCCAUUUUUUUCAUUUUUAUUAGUUUUUGUAUUUUUUUUAAAAUUUUUUGACUCAUUUUUCUUUUCCUUACUUCUUUAUUUUUUUAUUUUUUUUCUUUUUUAUUACUUAUUUUAUCUUUUCCUUUUGCUUUAAUACUUUCUCUAUUUUUUUUCCUUUUACUUUUUUUGUUAAUUUUUGUUAUUUUUUAUAAAAAUUUUAUAAUGUUAUGGAUAUUUACUUUAAUAUUUAAUCUUUUUCUUUUGGUUUGUCUCAUUUUUGCUGUCAUUUUUAUUUUUUUUGGUAUUUUCUAUUCUAUUUUUAAAUUCUUCAGUAAUUCUUUUUUUCUUUUUCUUUUAACUUAUUUGUUCAUUUGCUUUCUCUUUUUUGUUUUAAUUUUUUUUAUAUGUUUUGUAUUUUAAUUUUUUUAUUUUUUCUUGCUUUUUCUUAUAUCUUUUUGUUCACAUUUUUUUUUUAUUUCUUCUUUGCAAUUUUAAAAUCUCAAGACUUCUCUUUUGUGUACUUCCUUUUGCUUUUAUUUAUAUUUUGUAUUGACUUUUUAUUUUAUUUUUAUCUUUGAUUAUUUGUCCUUUUUUUAUAUUUUUAUUUUUUUUGUUUCUCUUUGUAUAUUCUAAACUAAAAGUUUUUUCUAUUUUAUAUUUCAAAGUUUUCUUCACUUCGUCUUUUUAUAUUUUUUUAUUAGCUAAUUUUUUUAUUUUCUUCCUUUUUUAUUUUUUGUUUUUGUUUAUUUUUUCUUUUAUAUUAAUAUUUUAUUAAUUUAUUUUUUAUUUUUUUAUUUUUUGAAUCUUUUUUAUUUUUUCAUUUUCUUAUUUUGUCUUUUUUUUCCUAUUUUUUGUUCUAUUUUAUAAUUUUUCAAAAACUUUUUUCCAUCAAAAUUUUCUUUUUUUUGCUUUUUUUUUUUUCACAUGCUUUCAUUUUUAUUUUAUUUCAUUGUUUUAAUAUUUUUUACUUUCUCGUUUUCUUUUUUAUUUCAAAUCUUUUGUCUUUUCAUUUUUAUUCUAUUCUUGCUUUUCUUUUUAUUUCUUAUUUGCGUUUUUAAAUUCUCGUACUUUUUUUUCAAUUUCUCCUUUGGUUUUCAUUUUUAUUUUGCAAUAACUUCUCUUUUUUAAUUUUUUGUCUUUGACCUUUUCUAUUGUUUUCUUGUUAUUUCUUAUAUGUUUUUCAAUUUUUUGUAUUUUUAAAACUAAUUUUUUUUAUUUUGUCAUUCUUUUUCACUUUCUAAAUUUUUAUUCAAUUUUUGUAUUUUUGAUUAAUUAUUUUUUAUUUUCUUACUUUUUAUAUUUUUAUUGUAUUUUUGUUUUUUUUUGUUUUACUUUAAUAUUCUUUUCUUAUUUUAUUUUUAUUUGGUUUAUUUUUUAUUUCUUUCUUUAUUUAAAUUUUCAUAAAUGUUUAGAAUGUUUUGGAUUUUUUAUUUUUCAUAAAUCAUCUUUUGUCUUUUCAUUUUUAUUAUUUUCUUAAUUUUUUCACAAAUUUCUUUUUAUUUCUUAUUUUCAUUUUCAAAUUCUUAUAGUUUUUUUGUUGCAUUUUCUUCUUUGGUUUUCAUUUUUAUUUUGCAUUAACUUUUCUCUUUUUUAAUUUUUUGUCUUUGAUUUUUAUAUUGUUUUCUUAUUAUUUCUUAUAUGUUUUUCAAUUUUUUGUAUUUUUUAAAAUAUUUUUUUUCUAUUUUGUCAUUUCCUUUCAUUUUGAAAUUUUUAUUCAAUUUUUGUCUUUUUUAUUUUUUGUUUUUGAUUCAUUAUUUUUUAUUUUCUUACUUUUUAUAUUUUUUAUUGUAUUUUUGUUUAUUUACAUUUUAUUUUUUUCUUAUUUUUAUUUUUAUUUCUUUCUUUAUUUAUAUUUUCAUAAAUUUUAUAAUGUUUUGGAUUUUUUAUUUUUUAUCUUUUUAUCUUUUCUUUUUUAUUUAUCGUUGUUGGUUAUUUUCUAUUGUAUUUUAUAAUUUUCCAUUAACUCCUUUUCCUUUUAAAUUUUUCCCUUUUUUUUACUUAUUUUUUCAUGUGCUUUCAUAUUUUUUUUUUGUUUUCACUUUUUUCUUUGUUUUAAAAUUUUCUAUAAAACUUUUUUUCUUUUUGUUUUAUUUCAUAUUUUUGCCUCUUCAUUUUUUAUUUUUUCUUGUUUUUCGAAUUUUUUUCACAAAAUUCUUUUAUUUCUUGUUUCCAUUUUUUUUCUUUUGCACUUCCUUGUUUUGUUUUUAUUUUUAUUUUGUUUUAACUUUUCCCUCUGUUAAUUUUUGUAUCUUUGAUUUUUUUUAUUUUUUUCUUAUUACAUUAUUUUUGCUUGUAUUUUCUAAAUUAAAUUUUUUUCUACUUUGUCAUCCCUUUUCAUUUUUUAACUUCUUUUAAUUUUUUAUCUCUGAUUUUUUAUAUCUUUAUAUCUUAUUAUUUGUUUGUAUUUUAUAAACUAAAUUUGUUUUCUAUUUUGUCAUUUUUUCUUCGUUUUUGAAAUUUUUAUUAGCUUUUGUAUUUUUACAAUUUUUUCUUUUGACUCGUUAAUUUUUCAUUUCCUCACUUUUUUAUUUUUUCUAUUUUGUGCUCUUUUUAAUCUUUUUUCCUUUUAUUUUUUAUUUUUAAUUUUUGUUAUUUUGUUUUUUUAUAAAAAUUUUAUAAUGUUAUGGACAUUAAAACAUUGUUGAAUGAGACUUUGAUUUCAUUAGAAAUUGAAGAUGUUAUGUGCAUGUAUACUAAUUAGAUAUCUAAUUAAAUUCAUCUUGUAUUUUAUCUUGAAAUUUAUUUUUAUUUAUCGUGUAAUUUAUCUUUUAUUUAAUAAAAUUUGGAUUAUUUUUAUUUAUUAUUUUGGAUUGUAUAAUAUUUAUCUUUUAUUUGAUACAAUUUGUUAAGAGAUAAUAAUUAUCUUUGUUAUUUUCUUUUGGAAUUUUAUUGGCUUAUAUAUAAUAACACCAGUUUGGAAUUGUUAUAUCUAUCACUAUUUACUUCAUGUAUUUAUAUUUUUACAUUUUUAACGAUUUAAAAAUUAAAAAAAUUUUAAAUUUAAAUCAAUAAAUUCAAAUCAAAAUAUUUUGCAUCUAAACUUUCAAAUUCAAAUUAAGUUUUAAAACAUAAAUUAAAGAUUGAACUUUGUAGAAUUUUUUUAUUUCUUUAUUUAUUUCCUUUUUUAAAGCUUUUUGUUUUUUUUUUUUACUUUUUAUACAUUUUCCUAAUUAUUCAUUUAUUAUAUUUUUGUUAUAUAGUGUAUUUUUCUUUUUUUUUUUUUUUUACAAAAAACCUUCUUUCUUAUCUUCAUUAUAUUAUUCUUUCACUACUUAUUUUCUUUUUGCUUUUGAUUUUUUUGUUGCUCUAAUCUAAUUGGUCAUUUACAUUAUUUUCUAUUAUUUUUUUCUUUUUGUACUCUUUUUACUUUUUAUCUUUAUUUUUUUCAUUUUUUUUCUUAAGGUUUUUCUUCUUUUUAUUUUUGGGUUUUUUUUGGCAUUUCUUUUUAAUUUGUGUUUUUUAUCCACACUUCUUUCUUUUGUUUUUAUUUUUUAUAACUUUUUUUUUUUUAAUCAUUGAUUUUUUAUAUCUUUAUUUCUUAUUAUUUGUUAUAUUUUUUAUUUUUCGUUUGUAUUUUAUAAACUAAAAUUUUUUCUAUUGUCUUUUUCUUUUCCUUUUUUCAUUUUUAUUAGUUUUUGUAUUUUUUUAAUUUUUUCUUUUAACUCAUUUUUUAAUUUUCUUACUUUUUUUAAUUGCGUUUUUUUUAUUUUUAAUUUUUCUCUUUUUUAGUACUUAUUUUAUCUUUUUCCUUGUGCUUUACUAAUCUUUUAUUUUAUUUUUCCUUUUAUUUUUAUUGUUAAUUUUUGUUAUUUUUAUAAAAAUUUUAUAAUGUUAUGGAUAUUUACUUUUAUUUUUUAAUCUUUUCUUCUUUUGGUUUGUUUCAUUUUUUUUGCUAUUAUCUAUUCUAUUUUUAUAAUUUUUCAUUAAUUCCUUUUUUUCUUUUAAUUUAUUUGUUCAUUUGCUUUCAUUCUUUUUGUUUUAAUUAUUUUAUAUAUUUUGUAUUUUCAUUUUUUAUUGUUUUCUUGCUUUUUCUUAUAUCUUUUUGUUCACACUUUUUUUUAUUUCUUCUUUACAAUUUUAAAAUCUUAGACUUUUGUUUUUUUUUGUGAACUUCCUUUUGAUUUUAUUUAUAUUUUGUAUUGACUUUUAUUUUAUUUUUUGUCUUUGAUUUUUUAUGUCUUUUUUUCUACAUUUGUUUUUUUUUUUUUUGUUUUUCUUUGUAUAUUCUAAACGAAAAUUUUUUUCUAUUUUCUAUUUGAAAUUUUUAUUCAUUUUAUCGUUUUAUAUUUUUUUAUUCUCUAAUUUUUUAUUUUCUUACUUUUUUACUUUUUGUUUUUGUUUAUUUUUAAUUGUUAUUUUUUAGUAUUUUUUUUAUUUUUUUUCAAUUUUCGUAUUUUUGAUUAAUUAUUUUUUAUUAUCUUACCUUUUAUAUUUUUAUUGUAUUUUUGUUUUUUUAUUUUUUUUGUUUUACUUUAAUAUUGUUUUCUUAUUUUAUUUUUAUUUUGGUUUAUUUUUUAUUUCUUUCUUUAUUUAAAUUUUCAUAAAUUUUUAGAAUGUUUUGGAUUUUUUAUUUUUCAUAAAUCUUUUGUCUUUUCAUUUUUAUUCUUUUCUUAAUUUUUUUUCACAAAUUUCUUUUUAUUUCUUAUUUUCAUUUUCAAAUUCUUAUAGUUUCUUUUGUUGCAUUUUCUUCUUUGGUUUUCAUUUUUAUUUUGAAUUAACUUUUCUCUCUUUUAAUUUUUUGUCUUUGAUUUUUUAUAUUGUUUUCUUAUUAUUUCUUAUAUGUUUUUCAAUUUUUUGUAUUUUUUAAAAUAUUUUUUUCUAUUUUGUCAUUUCCUUUCAUUUUUGAAAUUUUUAUUCAAUUUUUGUCUUUUUUUUUCUUACUUUUUAUAUUUUUUAUUGUAUUUUUG
This 17171-nucleotide long non-coding RNA is filed under the name Durio zibethinus. Its description in RNAcentral is "long non-coding RNA (DZIB_LNC002046)". The record is from RNAcentral. Lineage: Eukaryota; Viridiplantae; Streptophyta; Magnoliopsida; Malvales; Malvaceae.